GUGUCAGCAGCCGCGGUAAUACGAAGGGGGCUAGCGUUGUUCGGAAUUACUGGGCGUAAAGGGCGCGUAGGUGGCUUUGUAAGUCAGGAGUGAAAUCCCUGGGCUCAACCCAGGAAUUGCUUUUGAGACUACAUGGCUUGAGUACAGGAGAGGUGAGUGGAAUUCCCAGUGUAGAGGUAAAAUUCGUAGAUAUUGGGAGGAACACCAGUGGCGAAGGCGGCUCACUGGCCUGUAACUGACACUGAGGCGCGAAAGCGUGGGGAGCAAACAGGAUUAGAUACCCCGGUAGUCC
Molecule: ribosomal RNA, 292 nt
Filed under: uncultured bacterium
Lineage: Bacteria
Description: partial 16S ribosomal RNA
Rfam family: Bacterial small subunit ribosomal RNA
Source: RNAcentral